ACGGGGGGGGCAAGCGUUGUUCGGAAUUACUGGGCGUAAAGGGCUCGUAGGCGGCCAACUAAGUCGGACGUGAAAUCCCUCGGCUCAACCGGGGAACUGCGUCCGAUACUGGAUGGCUUGAAUCCGGGAGAGGGAUGCGGAAUUCCAGGUGUAGCGGUGAAAUGCGUAGAUAUCUGGAGGAACACCGGUGGCGAAGGCGCACAUCUGGCCCAAUACUGACGCUGAAGCGCGAAAGCUAGGGGAGCAAACGGGA
Molecule: ribosomal RNA, 253 nt
Filed under: uncultured prokaryote
Description: partial 16S ribosomal RNA
Rfam family: Bacterial small subunit ribosomal RNA
Source: RNAcentral